RNAcentral lists this ribosomal RNA (497 nucleotides) under uncultured bacterium. Its description in RNAcentral is "partial 16S ribosomal RNA". It matches the Rfam family "Bacterial small subunit ribosomal RNA", at positions 28 to 507 of the family's 1533-position model. The record is from RNAcentral.
GAUGAACGCUGGCGGCGUGCCUAAUACAUGCAAGUCGAGCGAACGGACGAGGAGCUUGCUUCUCUGAUGUUAGCGGCGGACGGGUGAGUAACACGUGGAUAACCUACCUAUAAGACUGGGAUAACUUCGGGAAACCGGCGCUAAUACCGGAUGAUAUUUUGAACCGCAUGGUUCAAAAGUGAAAGACGGUCUUGCUGUCACGUAUAGAUGGAUCCGCGCUGCAUUAGCUAGUUGGUAAGGUAACGGCUUACCACGGCGACGAUGCAUAGCCGACCUGAGAGAGUGAUCGCCGACACUGGAACUGAGACGCGGUCCAGACUCCUACGGGAGGCAGCAGUAGGGAAUCUGACGCAAUGGGCGAAAGCCUGACGGAGCAACGCCGCGUGAGUGAUGAAGGUCUUCGGAUCGUAAAACUCUGUUAUUAGGGAAGAACAUAUGUGUAAGUAACUGUGCACAGCUUGACGGUACUUAAUCAGAAAGCCACGGCUAACUACGUG